Molecule: long non-coding RNA, 395 nt
Filed under: Homo sapiens (human)
Lineage: Eukaryota; Metazoa; Chordata; Mammalia; Primates; Hominidae
Description: non-protein coding lnc-NAALADL2-1:17
Source: RNAcentral
AAGAUAUUGAAAUGAGUGUGAAAAACUGAGGAGGAAGGAAACUAACUUAACAGAGGGAAAUGAGCAUUGACUAUUAGGCACCUGGAUGAAGACUGGGUCCAGAUUGUCAGUCUCCUGUAACCUGCAGAAGCCCUCCAGUUGCACUAGGAACAUUCAAUUGAAGUAAGACCUAAUUAUUUUAAUUAGAUUGUAGGACUUUCAUUCUUGAAUCAACUUUUAAUAAGGUGACUUCAUGUAUUUCUAUAGUGUGCCAAUAGCUGCUAAUUUUGAAAAAAGAAGACUGCAAGCAUUAUUCUGUGGCAAAAUUUUAUGUAUUCCAAUUUUUAUUUAUCUUUUAUUUCAUGGGUUUAAGCCCAUUUUCUUUGGGUAGCAUUAUAUAAAUAUUUUAAUUUCUG